RNAcentral lists this transfer RNA (74 nucleotides) under Egicoccus halophilus. Its description in RNAcentral is "tRNA-Gly". It matches the Rfam family "tRNA". Rfam says of the family: Transfer RNA (tRNA) molecules are approximately 80 nucleotides in length. RNAcentral also lists the same sequence under 2 other names. The record is from RNAcentral. Lineage: Bacteria; Bacillati; Actinomycetota; Nitriliruptoria; Egicoccales; Egicoccaceae.
GCGGGUGUAGCUCAAUGGUAGAGCCCCAGCUUCCCAAGCUGGUGACGGGGGUUCGAUUCCCCUCACCCGCUCCA